UACGUAGGCAGCAAGCGUUGUUCGGAAUUACUGGGCGUAAAGAGUGCGUAGGCGGUUGGCUAAGUUUGGUGUGAAAUCUCCCGGCUUAACUGGGAGGGUGCGCCGAAAACUGGCUAGCUAGAGUGCGGGAGAGGAUAGUGGAAUUCCUGGUGUAGCGGUGAAAUGCGUAGAUAUCAGGAGGAACACCUGAGGUGUAGACGGCUGUCUGGACCGUAACUGACGCUGAGGCACGAAAGCGUGGGGAGCAAACAGG
Molecule: ribosomal RNA, 253 nt
Filed under: uncultured bacterium
Lineage: Bacteria
Description: partial 16S ribosomal RNA
Rfam family: Bacterial small subunit ribosomal RNA
Source: RNAcentral